GACCAAUGCGAAAGCAUUUGCCAAGGAUGUUUUCAUUAAUCAAGAACGAAAGUAGGGGGAUCGAAGACGAUCAGAUACCGUCGUAGUCUCUACCGUAAACUAUGCCGACCAGGGAUCCGGAGAGUUUGCAUGGAUGACUCCCCGGGCACCUUGUGAGAAAUCAUAAGUCUUUGGGUUUUGGGGGGAGUAUGGUCGCAAGGCUGAAACUUAAAGGAAUUGACGGAAGGGCACCACCAGGAGUGGAACCUGCGGCUUAAUUUGACUCAACACGGGGAAACUUACCAGGUCCAGACACAGUAAGGAUUGACAGAUUGAAAGCUCUUUCUUGAUUCAGUGGGUGGUGGUGCAUGGCCGUUCUUAGUUGGUGGAGUGAUUUGU
This 378-nucleotide ribosomal RNA is filed under the name Vermamoeba cf. vermiformis. RNAcentral's name for it is "SSU rRNA". It matches the Rfam family "Eukaryotic small subunit ribosomal RNA", at positions 938 to 1314 of the family's 1831-position model. The record is from RNAcentral. Lineage: Eukaryota; Tubulinea; Echinamoebida; Vermamoebidae.